This 253-nucleotide ribosomal RNA is filed under the name uncultured bacterium. RNAcentral's name for it is "partial 16S ribosomal RNA". It matches the Rfam family "Bacterial small subunit ribosomal RNA", at positions 524 to 776 of the family's 1533-position model. The record is from RNAcentral.
UACGAAGGGGGCGAGCGUUGUUCGGAUUUACUGGGCGUAAAGGGCGCGCAGGCGGUCAUUUUUGUCGAGUGUGAAAUCCCUGGGCUCAACCCAGGAACUGCGUCCGAUACUGGAAGGCUUGAAUUCGGGAGAGGGAUGCAGAAUUCCAGGUGUAGCGGUGAAAUGCGUAGAUAUCUGGAGGAAUACCGGUGGCGAAGGCGGCAUCCUGGACCGACAUUGACGCUGAGGAGCGAAAGCCAGGGGAGCAAACGGG